Molecule: ribosomal RNA, 494 nt
Filed under: uncultured bacterium
Lineage: Bacteria
Description: partial 16S ribosomal RNA
Rfam family: Bacterial small subunit ribosomal RNA
Source: RNAcentral
GACGAACGCUGGCGGCGCGCUUAACACAUGCAAGUCGAACGGAAAGGCCUGCUUUCCCUUGUGGAUUGCGGGUACUCGAGUGGCGAACGGGUGAGUAACACGUGAGUGAUCUGCCCCCAACUUGGGUAUAAGCCUGGGAAACUGGGUCUAAUUCCCGAUAGGACUGCAGGGUGGUGCCUGUGGUGGAAAACGAUUUUCUAGUGGUUGGGGAUGAGCUCGCGGCCUAUCAGCUUGUUGGUGGGGUAAUGGCCUACCAAGGCGGCGACGGGUAGCCGGCCUGAGAGGGUGGACGGCCACAUUGGGACUGGGAUACGGCCCAGACUCCUACGGGAGGCAGCAGUUGGGAAUAUUGCACCAUGGGCGGAAGCCUGAUGCAGCGACGCCGCGUGGGGGAUGACGGCCUUCGGGUUGUAAACUCCUUUCGACCGCGAGGAAGCCACCUGGUUGGAAGGGUGGUGACGGUAGUGGUAGAAGAAGCACCGGCUAACUACGUG